RNAcentral lists this ribosomal RNA (492 nucleotides) under uncultured bacterium. Its description in RNAcentral is "partial 16S ribosomal RNA". It matches the Rfam family "Bacterial small subunit ribosomal RNA", at positions 29 to 507 of the family's 1533-position model. The record is from RNAcentral.
AGUGAACGCUGGCGGUAGGCCUAACACAUGCAAGUCGAACGGCAGCACAGUAAGAGCUUGCUCUUACGGGUGGCGAGUGGCGGACGGGUGAGGAAUACAUCGGAAUCUACUUUUUCGUGGGGGAUAACGUAGGGAAACUUACGCUAAUACCGCAUACGACCUACGGGUGAAAGUAGGGGAUCUUCGGACCUUGCGCGAUUGAAUGAGCCGAUGUCGGAUUAGCUAGUUGGCGGGGUAAAGGCCCACCAAGGCGACGAUCCGUAGCUGGUCUGAGAGGAUGAUCGGCCACACUGGAACUGAGACACGGUCCAGACUCCUACGGGAGGCAGCAGUAGGGAAUAUUGGGCAAUGGGCGCAAGCCUGAUCCAGCCAUGCCGCGUGAGUGAAGAAGGCCUUCGGGUUGUAAAGCCCUUUUGUUGGGGAAGAAAAGCAGCGGGUUAAUACCCCGCUGUUCUGACGGUACCCAAAGAGUAAGCACCGGCUAACUUCGUG